Molecule: unclassified non-coding RNA, 209 nt
Filed under: Pseudomonas syringae
Lineage: Bacteria; Pseudomonadati; Pseudomonadota; Gammaproteobacteria; Pseudomonadales; Pseudomonadaceae
Also listed under: 3 other names
Description: Pseudomonas sRNA P29
Source: RNAcentral
AAGCUACUGGGGGAGCCGAAGCUCCCCCAAAGUGUGUGCUCUUUAUUAUUGUUUUCUGCCUGGGCUUCUUGUUUUUGUUGAGUGCCCAUUCACGAGACUUGCGUCUGUGAAACCUCCCAAUCGGGAGUCAAGAGCAAACGGAUUGCUUUGGUCGCUGCGUUGCAAUGAUCAUUCGAUCCAACCAGUUCAGGCGCUACCUAAGGGUAGUU